RNAcentral lists this transfer RNA (75 nucleotides) under Saccharimonadales bacterium (SeqCode). RNAcentral's name for it is "tRNA-Glu". It matches the Rfam family "tRNA". Rfam says of the family: Transfer RNA (tRNA) molecules are approximately 80 nucleotides in length. Lineage: Bacteria; Candidatus Saccharimonadota; Candidatus Saccharimonadia; Saccharimonadales (SeqCode). The record is from RNAcentral. RNAcentral also lists the same sequence under 1 other name.
GGUCUCAUCGUCUAACGGUUAGGACACCAGGUUCUCAUCCUGGUAAUUGGAGUUCGAUUCUCCAUGAGAUCACCA